GACGAACCGUCCAAACGUUAUUCGGAAUCACUGGGCUUACAGAGUUCGUAGGCGGUCUGGAAAGUUGGGUGUGAAAUCCCUCGGCUCAACCGAGGAACUGCGCUCAAAACUACCCGACUCGAGGGAGAUAGAGGAAAGCGAAACUGAUGGUGGAGCGGUGAAAUGCGUUGAUAUCACCAGGAACACCGGUGGCGAAGGCGGCUUUCUGGGUCUUACCUGACGCUGAGGAACGAAAGCUAGGGGAGCGAACGGG
Molecule: ribosomal RNA, 253 nt
Filed under: uncultured bacterium
Lineage: Bacteria
Description: partial 16S ribosomal RNA
Rfam family: Bacterial small subunit ribosomal RNA
Source: RNAcentral